CAAUGCAACUUUCGACGACGAGGUAACGUAACUUAUGAGUCAUUUUGCCACGAGCAAUAUUGUAACUUUUAUAUAACCUUGAUAAAUAGAAACAUAAAAUUUCUUGUUGAAUCCUCUUGAACUGCAAUUUCCAAUCGAGCACUGAUUCGACGAAGAAUGCAAUUAUCAUUGACACUCAUCGAUAAGACAAUUUCUUUUUAACUGUAUUGCGAAAGCACGAUAGCCACCGAUGAUUAGUAUUGUCGUAAUUCGAGUGUUGAUUACAGUACCGUUACGGUAGCUGUUAGUUAAAGGUUCGUCGGUGCACCAUGGAGAACGACAAUCAAAAGUCGGUAUGGUCGGUGGAAAAGGGCACAAUGACUAUGUUUAUAGCCGAGGUGCUAGGCACUGGGAUUCUCCUGUUCGUUGGUUGUAUGGGUUCUAUCGGAACGAUGGGAUCCAUACCGCCGCCAUUACAAAGUUCCAUGGCGUUUGGUAUGACUGUCAAUCUUCUGAUUAUGAUGCUGGGACACAUAAGUGGUGCACAUUUAAACCCCGCUGUCACGAUAGGAGCGGUUAUUCUAGGAAUUAAAACCAUCCCCACAGGAAUCCUUUACGCAAUCGCGCAAUUCAUUGGAGCAACUAUUGGAUAUGGAAUAUUAAUGACGAUAACUCCACCCGAAUUGUUCAAUGAUGGACGUUCAAACGUGACAAUUGGACACUGUGUAACCGUUGUACAUCCUGGAAUAAGUAUCACGCAGGCUAUUAUAGUCGAGAUUCUUUGCACAUCCUUUAUACUUUGUGCAGCAUGCGCCACUUGGGACCCAAGAUGCGCCCACACUACAGAUUCUACAGCGAUCAGAUUCGGUUUCUCCGUUGUUGGAGUUUCACUUGCAGCGAGUCCUUACACCGGUUGUAGUAUGAAUCCUGCGCGUACUUUCGGCCCAGCUUUUUGGAACGGGAAUUGGACGAAUCAAUGGAUUUACUGGUUCGGACCGUGUGCCGGAGCCUUUCUUGGAACGUAUAUUUAUGUAUAUUUUUUUGCCGAGAAGAAAGAGAACAAACAUGACGAUUGUCUCGAAUUUACGGAAUUAAAAGCAAUUAAUGAUGAUAUAAAUUAUAGCGAAAAAAAAAAUAAAAAAGAGGAAAAUCUCGAACUCGAAGAAAGCUAUUUAUGAUAAAUGGAGAAGGUGUUUAAUGAUCGUUAAGCACUGCGACGCCACAUGCCUAUAUAAGAGGAUCGCUCGGCGUGGCUCAACGCAUUUGUAAAUCAGUUUCCAGAGGAGUCAGAGGUGGCGUUCAAAGUGUGCAGUAGUGUGAAAAUUUCUUCCUCCACUAUGUUUACAGUUAAUUCGUCAUUAUUUCUUGGCAAUAAUAUCAUUAUUGCAAUAUCAUCUACAGAAUUGAAAAUUCUCCAUUUCACCAUAGAAGACACAUGAGUUUUCAAGAACGGAAUUAUUGAAGAAAGAAAAAAAGAAUGGCUCGACGCAUUCAUAAAGAAACUUUCGUUCGGAUGCAGUGAAUAUUCAAUUUCAUCAACUGAUCAUAUUUCUUCUAUUAUGCGAUCUACGACAACAUGACAUGAAAACAAACGAAUGGAUUGCGAAGUUGGACUAUUUACGUGCACCCUACGGGGUCGGUGCUUGAACGCAACUAUAAUAUGGUCUGAUUAGAGUUUGAAAUUUCUUCAUACAUUUUGAACUAUUUGAGAAGAGCAUCUCGAGAUAUAUUAGGUAAGCGGUUAUUGAACCGAUGUAUUUCUAUUGUUCUACAAUCUUAACGUUAUAAUAUAAGAUCAGAAAAUUAACAUUUAGGGCUCACAGUGUCGCUACUUAAUUAUUUAAUUCAAAAUAUAAUAUAAAUAUAAAUGUCAUAUUAUAUGUUAAAAAUAAUAUUUUAAAUUGAACGUAUAAAUUUUGAUAUAUUUCACAUUUCAAAGAAUUCUCUUAAAUCAAACUGAAUGUAGCGUCACUUUAGCCUUUAUCCUAGUUUAGUUACAAAUCAGUUACUUAAAGUAUCGUUUUUUAUUUCUUCUAUGUUAAAUAGAAUUUAAUGUAUUUUCACGAUGUCUGCUCACUACUGAGAGAAUCGUAAAGUACCGACUGUUUAAAAUAUGUUGAUGAGGAACACUCGUUAGUUUUAAAUUUUAUCGAUUUUUAAUUAUUUUUAACUAUUUUUUAAAUUUCCCCUGUUUAUUACUUUAUUAUAAUUUCUUUGAUAAAUAUUCGAUCAAAUAUAUUAAUUUACCUUGAAUUGAAACCUCGAAGUUGAAGUCGAUAAAUGCAAAUUGAUAUUUCUACGAAUGUGCCUCAUCCACGUGAAAGUCUUUAAUUCAACGUGACGUUCUUUUUAUAGUUUAGAGCAGACUCGUAGUUAGAGGUCGAGAAUAAAUUGUGGGCACCAUCUUGUCUAAACCAAUACUCUACUACAAAGGCAUAUGGAAUUUGGGAAUUGAGAAAAAAGUACACAGAUCAAAUAGAACCGAAAAUGAAAAAAA
Molecule: unclassified non-coding RNA, 2476 nt
Organism: Apis florea (little honeybee)
Lineage: Eukaryota; Metazoa; Arthropoda; Insecta; Hymenoptera; Apidae
Source: RefSeq, a predicted model, not a curated record